UCGGAAACCUUGCACGAGAAAGAAAACAACUAUUGUAUUCGAAAAUAUGAGAGAGCGUAAGUAACAGUACACGAGCUCGGGCCCUAUUUAUAGAUUUACAAACGGAGGGGUAGAAUAGUAAAAACAUCUGCGGUGCAUGCGUCUUGCGUGAUGGAAGGGUACGCUGGUAAUUUCGAUAAUAUGCGGGAGAUCUUCCCGCGCGUUUGUUGGCUCCUCUGAUGGAAAUGUCUUUUCUGGCGAAGGCGUCUUCUCUGGUGAUGUUGACAUCUCUGGCGGAGGUGACUCUUCUGGUAAACACGUCUUCUCUGGCAAGGGCGUCUCCUCUGGCGGUAGUGACUUCUCUGGCACGGAUAUACUUUCUUUGAUGGCAACGACUUCUCUGGUAUUGACGACUUUUCUGACUAGGAUGCUUCCUCUGGUGAAGACGACUUCUCUGACGUGGAUGACUUCUCUGGCGUAGAGGACUUCUCUGACGAUGGCGACUUCUCUGGCAUAUUUGACCCGCCAGUGGGGUCGAUUCCUCUGAUUUGUAUUCUUUUCCUACUCUGCACAUAUUACUCCUCAUCAAAGGGGUUGAACUAGGAUCAUAUAAAGAUAUAGGACAAAUAUGGGAUAAAUAGGCUAGCAAAGAUGGCCUUCUAUCAUCUCAAAGUUAUUAAGCACACUAUGUGACCUCGAGGGAGAAACCAAGACAAGUUCUAGUGAGACACAAGCAUACUCAAACAAUCACUCAAGAAUAAGAAAUAAGACUGUAAAAAUAAUGACAGUCAAGGCUCAAAACUCACAGCUUAUUUCAUUGAUUGCAACCACAUAGAGACCAUGCUUAUCAUUCAUCAUUCAUGCUCAAUCACAACAAUAUAAACACAAACGCAUGCAAUUUCACAAGUUUUAAACAGAAAUCGUCAUGAACCAGUUAUCCACAAAACUCUACACUACUCACAUCAUCAUCAAGGUAACAUCACGAAGAAACCACCAAAGCAAGACUAAGAAAACUCAACGACGACACAAACAAAGACAACCAAAAAGAAAAGUAGACACCCACAAAGACACAUCCCCUCAAACUUAUUCACCACCAAGGAGAAUAAGUUUGAAAAGGAUUUGUGGGGCACGAGAAUAAACAAACAAACAAAAAGGAACUAACUAACCAGAAAUUGGGUUGCCUCCCAAUAAGCGCUAUUUUU
This 1181-nucleotide long non-coding RNA is filed under the name Salvia miltiorrhiza (redroot sage). Its description in RNAcentral is "long non-coding RNA (SMIL_LNC008136)". Lineage: Eukaryota; Viridiplantae; Streptophyta; Magnoliopsida; Lamiales; Lamiaceae. The record is from RNAcentral.